AUUGAACGCUGGCGGCAGGCCUAACACAUGCAAGUCGAGCGGAGCGGCGGACGGGUGAGUAAUGCCUAGGAAUCUGCCUGGUCGUGGGGGAUAACGUCCGGAAACGGGCGCUAAUACCGCAUACUAUCAGAUGAGCCUAGGUCGGAUUAGCUAGUUGGUGGGGUAAAGGCCUACCAAGGCGACGGCCCGUAACUGGUCUGAGGGGAUGAGCAGUCAACCUGGAACUGAGAAACGGUCCAGACUCCUACGGGAGGCAGCAGUGGGGAAUAUUGGACAAUGGGCGAAAGCCUGAUGCAGGCAUGCCGUGUGUUAGAAGAAGGCCUUAGGGUUGUAAAGGACUUUAAGGGUGGAGGCGUUACCGGCAGAAAAAGCAACGGCUAACUUCGUGCCCGCCGCCGCGGUAAUAC
Molecule: ribosomal RNA, 407 nt
Filed under: uncultured bacterium
Lineage: Bacteria
Description: partial 16S ribosomal RNA
Rfam family: Bacterial small subunit ribosomal RNA
Source: RNAcentral